Molecule: long non-coding RNA, 947 nt
Organism: Megalobrama amblycephala (Wuchang bream)
Lineage: Eukaryota; Metazoa; Chordata; Actinopteri; Cypriniformes; Xenocyprididae
Exons: 3
Source: RefSeq, a predicted model, not a curated record
GUAAGACAAUAAAGAACAUCACAUUUAUUAAAAGUGGCAUAAUACAUUAUUAUUUCUGCAUCAAAUAAAAGGUAUAAUGAAAUCGAAAUAAUAAAAUGUAUAAAAUAAAUAUAUAAAUUGGAACAAGAUCAUUAUCAUGUUUGACAUUAGUUAAAAAUGCUGAAGAAUAUUACCAUUUUAAGUGCAAUACAUUUUCAAAUUGAUUUUCAAAUAUGUUUUGAAAUAAGGUUGUAACUCAUUCAUUUUUCUAUUUUCCAGGAUUAUAAAAAUACUUAAUGCAGUGUAAAAACUGCAAAUUCAGCAGUUCGAGUGAAGACGUCCUUCUAAAGCACUAUCGGCUGCAUCACCCAAGCAUUUCCAGCUGGCCUUGUAUUCAUACGGGGUGUGUUUGUGUCUUCAGGACAGCAGGCUUAGAGACCGAGUCCUUGUGACCCUGAGGACAUACCUGCACCAUUAAACUUGCCUGAUGGCUUUACUACUGCGAGUUGUCAUUUCUUCAACUGAUGCCCGGCGACUUCAGCUUUUUGAAGUGCCACAGUCUGUAGAGUCCCUUAUUAGUAUUCUGAAGGAGAAACUGCAGUUACAAGGACAGUUUGUCUUGCAGUUUCAGGACCCUGAUUUUGGGAAUGCCCUUUGCAGCCUGACUGACAUCUCGGAACUGCCCAGUGACAAAGCAGUCUUGCAUAUUCAGUGGUGCAAUUCAUCAUUGUCUGAAACCAGCCUUUCUGUGUCAUCUCUUGAUACUGCUAGUGUUGAUGACUCUGAUGGAUCCUUGACCAGCUCCACAGCCUCUGUACAAAGGUAUUUGCGCACAGCCUCAGAAUGGCCACUGCCAUUCCCCAUCCCACCCCUGUCAUUUGAUGUCGAGCUAAAACUACGACGAGGCAAUGAGACAUAUGCAGAAACACAGACAGGCAUUGAUGUGACCAGAGACAUAAAGAUGGAGA